GACGAACGCGGCGGCGUGCCUAAUACAUGCAAGUAGAACGCUGAAGAGAGGAGCUUGCUCUUCUUGGAUGAGUUGCGAACGGGUGAGUAACGCGUAGGUAACCUGCCUUGUAGCGGGGGAUAACUAUUGGAAACGAUAGCUAAUACCGCAUAACAAUGGAUGACACAUGCCAUUUAUUUGAAAGGGGCAAUUGCUCCACUACAAGAUGGACCUGCGUUGUAUUAGCUAGUAGGUGAGGUAAUGGCUCACCUAGGCGACGAUACAUAGCCGACCUGAGAGGGUGAUCGGCCACACUGGGACUGAGACACGGCCCAGACUCCUACGGGAGGCAGCAGUAGGGAAUCUUCGGCAAUGGGGGCAACCCUGACCGAGCAACGCCGCGUGAGUGAAGAAGGUUUUCGGAUCGUAAAGCUCUGUUGUAAGUCAAGAACGGGUGUGAGAGUGGAAAGUUCACACUGUGACGGUAGCUUACCAGAAAGGGACGGCUAACUACGUGCCAGCAGCCGCGGUAAUACGUAGGUCCCGAGCGUUGUCCGGAUUUAUUGGGCGUAAAGCGAGCGCAGGCGGUUUGAUAAGUCUGAAGUUAAAGGCUGUGGCUCAACCAUAGUUCGCUUUGGAAACUGUCAAACUUGAGUGCAGAAGGGGAGAGUGGAAUUCCAUGUGUAGCGGUGAAAUGCGUAGAUAUAUGGAGGAACACCGGUGGCGAAAGCGGCUCUCUGGUCUGUAACUGACGCUGAGGCUCGAAAGCGUGGGGAGCGAACAGG
This 764-nucleotide ribosomal RNA is filed under the name uncultured Streptococcus sp. RNAcentral's name for it is "bacterial SSU rRNA". It matches the Rfam family "Bacterial small subunit ribosomal RNA", at positions 28 to 776 of the family's 1533-position model. The record is from RNAcentral. Lineage: Bacteria; Bacillati; Bacillota; Bacilli; Lactobacillales; Streptococcaceae.